This 379-nucleotide unclassified non-coding RNA is filed under the name uncultured bacterium. RNAcentral describes it as "contains 16S-23S intergenic spacer region". The record is from RNAcentral.
UCCGAGUUGACCCCGGCAGUCUCCUAUGAGUCCCCGGCAUGAUCCGCUGGCAACAUGGGACGAGGGUUGCGCUCGUUGCGGGACUUAACCCAACAUCUCACAACACGAGCUGACGACAGCCAUGCACCACCUGUCUCCGUGCCCCUUGCGGGGAAAACCCAUCUCUGAGCCGGUCACGGGAUGUCAAGGGCUGGUAAGGUUCUGCGCGUUGCGUCGAAUUAAACCACAUGCUCCACCGCUUGUGCGGGCCCCCGUCAAUUCCUUUGAGUUUUAGCCUUGCGGCCGUACUCCCCAGGCGGGGCACUUACUGCGUUAGCGACGGCACCGGGAGGGUCGCUCCCCCCGACGCCUAGUGCCCAUCGUUUACGGCGUGGACUAC